AGGGACAUGGUCGGCGCCCGGCGUGAUCAACUCCAGCGGAGUUGCGAGGAGGGGAGAGCCAUCGGCGUGAUGGGCGAACACCGGUAGACUAUAACUUAACACGGCGCUGUCGAGUAAGUGACAUAAAUAUGACUGUAAAGAUAGGCUACAACUGAUCAAAGCUCAACGCAUGUUAAAUUAGAUAUGACUGUUUAAUAAAAUGCAAAUAUUCCACAAUCUGUUUUGCAAACAUAAUUAUCGUAUUUAGGCCCACUGUUUAGACUAAGCGAAUCAUCCCUACUGACUAGCCUGUAUCUCUGCCUUGUAAAUUCAAAAACAUUUAAUACACUGAUCUUCAUCAACUAUAUCACUCAAGUGGAAAAAAACAUUAUGUGACAUAAUAAAUAAAAUUAACCCUAAAUCUUUGUGGACACGAAAGAUCGAGCACAAACAAGAGUAACAAAACAAAAACAGGUCACACGUCUGCUUUUGCGGUGUAAUGAAUUUGCUACACUGUCCCACUGGGUGAGUGGAUGUCGCGCCUUGUGGGACGGCGCUCUGCCGCAGGCUGCCGGUGGCACGUAACGGAGGGGACGGCGGAACGCCCACGCGGCCCGCGGGGGACGGAAAGCGCAGCUCUGCCGCUCCGAAAGACGGCGCGGACGUAAAUCCUUCGGCUAAACUAGGCGAGAGUCCAUAUUUUCUCUAAAUGUGUUUCUCUUCUAUUUCCCGUCAAAGAGAGAGAGAGAGAGAGAUUUCCAGGUCUCCUUUAUUGGCGGUGGGAGGGAAGCAGACUGAGACAUCUCAAAAAAUACCCAGCCAUUUAUCUUCUGAUGUAUAACAGGUGCAGCCGGUCGAGCUUGGCCGUGGAGACAGCUUGUUGCUCCAGGAUACCACAUCCUCCUGUCCUUCUUCCAUCUCUUCUUCGCCAGGGUCCCUCAGGAGUGGAACACAGUCCCAUUGGGUGUGAUCCGGGCGUUCGGCUGGCAAAUGUGUGGUUCUGCUCUUGCCGUUCGAGGUGCAGUAUCUGGGGCACAAGGGACAGGCUACUGAUAUCAUCAUAGAAAGGCUUCAGCUCAGCACAGCCGAAACCCUCCUAGAUGUUGUGCCACUUCCUGCUUGUGGGAGUUCAUGAUCCCAGCAGUGGCACCCAUGGAAACAGCCCGCAGCAAUGUGACCAGAGGGAGGACAGCGCUGCUCCCGCUAGGCCUGUUAGGGACAGAGAUCUCCGCCUGCUCUGUCACUCCUGCAGCUCUGGAGAUUCCACCGGUCUCCAUGGUGACCCGCUGGGAUUCCGGAUUCCUCCAGUGCACGUUACUCCGCCUGGUGAAGACUGGAGAUUUACUACCUGACUGGAUCACGCCUUCUACACAACCCCACCCUGAUACCAUCUCACAAUUGUGCAGUCACAAAAAUAAACUAUGAGCUAUUUCUCUAUAUAACUAGUUUAUUUGUAUAACUUUAUUCACCUGUGGGUCUCCUUGCCGGAGUCUUUCAGUAGCUCAUGCUGUCCCGGCUAUUUACCUUCACACGUUACUCUAAACCAUUAACACACAUAUCUGUAGGUCUUUUCUCUCCCUUUUAUUUAGUUCUGGUUCACCCUAUUCUACCACUAACACAGAAACAGCUGGCUCCGGCCUUUGACAUCAAUCAGCAAUAAUGGAAUAAAGAAAUAA
Molecule: non-coding RNA, 1655 nt
Organism: Paramormyrops kingsleyae
Lineage: Eukaryota; Metazoa; Chordata; Actinopteri; Osteoglossiformes; Mormyridae
Source: RefSeq, a predicted model, not a curated record